CCUACGGGUGGCAGCAGUGGGGGAUAUUGCACAAUGGGGGAAACCCUGAUGCAGCGACGCCGCGUGAGUGAAGAAGUAUUUCGGGUUUGAAAGCUCUAUCAGCAGGGAAGAAAAUGACAGUACCUGACCACGAAUCCCCGGCUAACUACGUUCCAGCAGCAGCGGUAAUACGUAGGGGGCAAGCGUUAUCCGGAUUUAGUGGGUGUAAAGGGAGCGUAGACGGUUAUGUAAGUCUGGAGUGAAAGCCCGGGGCCCAACCCCGGGAAUGCUUUGGAAACUGUGUAACUGGAGUAGAGUAGGGGCAGGCGGAAUUCGUGGUGUAGCGGUGAAAUGCGUAGAUAUCAGGAGGAACACCGGCGGCGAAGGCGGCCUGCUGGACUGAAACUGACGUUGAGGCUCGAAAGCGUGGGGAGCAAACAGGAUUAGAUACCCUGGUAGUC
RNAcentral lists this ribosomal RNA (440 nucleotides) under uncultured bacterium. RNAcentral describes it as "partial 16S ribosomal RNA". It matches the Rfam family "Bacterial small subunit ribosomal RNA", at positions 338 to 795 of the family's 1533-position model. The record is from RNAcentral.